GACGAACGCUGGCGGCGUGCCUAAUACAUGCAAGUUGAGCGCUGAAGGUUGGUACUUGUACCAACUGGAUGAGCAGCGAACGGGUGAGUAACGCGUGGGGAAUCUGCCUUUGAGCGGGGGACAACAUUUGGAAACGAAUGCUAAUACCGCAUAAAAACUUUAAACACAAGUUUUAAGUUUGAAAGAUGCAAUUGCAUCACUCAAAGAUGAUCCCGCGUUGUAUUAGCUAGUUGGUGAGGUAAAGGCGCACCAAGGCGAUGAUACGUAGCCGACCUGAGAGGGUGAGCGGCCACAUUGGGACUGAGACACGGCCCAAACUCAUACGGGAGGCAGCAGUAGGGAAUCGUCGGCAAUGGACGAAAGUCUGACCGAGCAACGCCGCGUGAGUGAAGAGGGUUGUCGGAUCGUAAAACUCUGUUGGUAGAGAAGAACGUUGGUGAGAGUGGAAAGCUCAUCAAGUGACGGUAACUACCCAGAAAGGGACGGCUAACUACGUG
Molecule: ribosomal RNA, 497 nt
Filed under: uncultured bacterium
Lineage: Bacteria
Description: partial 16S ribosomal RNA
Rfam family: Bacterial small subunit ribosomal RNA
Source: RNAcentral